RNAcentral lists this ribosomal RNA (252 nucleotides) under uncultured bacterium. Its description in RNAcentral is "partial 16S ribosomal RNA". It matches the Rfam family "Bacterial small subunit ribosomal RNA", at positions 524 to 776 of the family's 1533-position model. The record is from RNAcentral.
UACGGAGGAUGCGAGCGUUAUCCGGAUUUAUUGGGUUUAAAGGGUGCGUAGGCGGAUCGUUAAGUCAGUGGUCAAAUUGAGGGGCUCAACCCCUUCCCGCCAUUGAAACUGGCGAUCUUGAGUGGAAGAGAAGUAUGCGGAAUGCGUAGUGUAGCGGUGAAAUGCAUAGAUAUCACGCAGAACCCCGAUUGCGAAGGCAGCAUGCCGGCUUCCUACUGACGCUGAAGCACGAAAGCGUGGGGAUCGAACAGG